CAGCGUGUGGUGCCCUACAAUAUUGUCAUUCUCAGUUGCUUUCGGGAUUACGGAAAUAAACGAAGAAAUCGAAAGUUGUGAUAAAUUCUUAGGAAACAGCAAUCGGCAAACCUCGGCAGAUUCCGUUACCUAACUGUGCCGAUUUAGUGAUUGAUGGAUUAAUGCGAGUCAUCAUUAAUUCUAUAGAAAAACACAUUGACGAUGGAAAUUUG
This 212-nucleotide long non-coding RNA is filed under the name Mytilus galloprovincialis (Mediterranean mussel). Lineage: Eukaryota; Metazoa; Mollusca; Bivalvia; Mytilida; Mytilidae. The record is from RNAcentral.